Molecule: transfer RNA, 57 nt
Filed under: Bos taurus (domestic cattle)
Lineage: Eukaryota; Metazoa; Chordata; Mammalia; Artiodactyla; Bovidae
Also listed under: 1 other name
Rfam family: tRNA
About the family: Transfer RNA (tRNA) molecules are approximately 80 nucleotides in length. Their secondary structure includes four short double-helical elements and three loops (D, anti-codon, and T loops).
Source: Rfam by way of RNAcentral
UAGCUGAGUCAGUAAAGAAUCUGCCUGCAAAACAGAAGACCCAGGUUCAAUCCCUGG